RNAcentral lists this ribosomal RNA (841 nucleotides) under uncultured bacterium. Its description in RNAcentral is "bacterial SSU rRNA". It matches the Rfam family "Bacterial small subunit ribosomal RNA", at positions 95 to 933 of the family's 1533-position model. The record is from RNAcentral.
GCGGCGGACGGGUGAGUAAUGCUUAGGAAUCUGCCUAUUAGUGGGGGACAACAUUCCGAAAGGAAUGCUAAUACCGCAUACGCCCUACGGGGGAAAGCAGGGGAUCUUCGGACCUUGCGCUAAUAGAUGAGCCUAAGUCAGAUUAGCUAGUUGGUGGGGUAAAGGCCUACCAAGGCGACGAUCUGUAGCGGGUCUGAGAGGAUGAUCCGCCACACUGGGACUGAGACACGGCCCAGACUCCUACGGGAGGCAGCAGUGGGGAAUAUUGGACAAUGGGCGAAAGCCUGAUCCAGCCAUGCCGCGUGUGUGAAGAAGGCCUUUUGGUUGUAAAGCACUUUAAGCGAGGAGGAGGCUACUUGGAUUAAUACUCUAGGAUAGUGACGUUACUCGCAGAAUAAGCACCGGCUAACUCUGUGCCAGCAGCCGCGGUAAUACAGAGGGUGCGAGCGUUAAUCGGAUUUACUGGGCGUAAAGCGUGCGUAGGCGGCUUUUUAAGUCGGAUGUGAAAUCCCUGAGCUUAACUUAGGAAUUGCAUUCGAUACUGGGAAGCUAGAGUAUGGGAGAGGAUGGUAGAAUUCCAGGUGUAGCGGUGAAAUGCGUAGAGAUCUGGAGGAAUACCGAUGGCGAAGGCAGCCAUCUGGCCUAAUACUGACGCUGAGGUACGAAAGCAUGGGGAGCAAACAGGAUUAGAUACCCUGGUAGUCCAUGCCGUAAACGAUGUCUACUAGCCGUUGGGGCCUUUGAGGCUUUAGUGGCGCAGCUAACGCGAUAAGUAGACCGCCUGGGGAGUACGGUCGCAAGACUAAAACUCAAUGAAUUGACGGGGGCCCGCACAAGCGGU